This 430-nucleotide ribosomal RNA is filed under the name uncultured bacterium. RNAcentral describes it as "bacterial SSU rRNA". It matches the Rfam family "Bacterial small subunit ribosomal RNA", at positions 957 to 1391 of the family's 1533-position model. The record is from RNAcentral.
GAACGCGAAGAACCUUACCCGGGCUUGAACUAACGGUGACAGAUCUAGAGAUAGAUUUUUCUUCGGACACCGUUGGAGGUGGUGCAUGGUUGUCGUCAGCUCGUGUCGUGAGAUGUUGGGUUAAGUCCCGCAACGAGCGCAACCCCUAUUGUUAGUUGCCAUCAUUCAGUUGGGCACUCUAGCGAGACUGCCGGUAAUAAACCGGAGGAAGGUGGGGAUGACGUCAAAUCAUCAUGCCCCUUAUGACCUGGGCUACACACGUGCUACAAUGGUUGGUACAGCGAGUUGCGAGUCGGUGACGGCAAGCUAAUCUCUUAAAGCCAAUCUCAGUUCGGAUUGUAGGCUGCAACUCGCCUACAUGAAGUCGGAAUCGCUAGUAAUCGCGGAUCAGCACGCCGCGGUGAAUACGUUCCCGGGUCUUGUACACACC